RNAcentral lists this ribosomal RNA (254 nucleotides) under uncultured bacterium. RNAcentral describes it as "partial 16S ribosomal RNA". It matches the Rfam family "Bacterial small subunit ribosomal RNA", at positions 524 to 776 of the family's 1533-position model. The record is from RNAcentral.
CACGUAGGGGGCGAGCGUUGUCCGGAUUUAUUGGGCGUAAAGAGCUCGUAGGCGGCUCAGUAAGUCAGGUGUGAAAACUCCAGGCUCAACCUGGAGACGCCACCUGAUACUGCUGUGGCUAGAGUCCGGUAGGGGAGCAUGGAAUUCCUGGUGUAGCGGUGAAAUGCGCAGAUAUCAGGAGGAACACCAGUGGCGAAGGCGGUGCUCUGGGCCGGAACUGACGCUGAGGAGCGAAAGCGUGGGGAGCGAACAGG